GCAUAUCAAUAAGCGGAGGAAAAGAAACUAACAAGGAUUCCCUUAGUAACGGCGAGUGAAGCGGGAAGAGCUCAAAUUUGAAAUCUUCAAGGUUCUACCUUGACGAAUUGUAGUUUAAAGAAGUGUUUUCUGUUAGAUGAGUAGCAAAAGUUCCUUGGAAUGGGACAUCAUAGAGGGUGAGAAUCCCGUAUUUGGUUAUUCAUUCUAGCUUUGUGAUACACUUUCAAAGAGUCGGAUUGUUUGGGAAUGCGGUCCAAAAUGGGUGGUAAAUUUCAUCUAAAGCUAAAUAUUGGCGAGAGACCGAUAGCGAACAAGUACCGUGAGGGAAAGAUGAAAAGAACUUUGAAAAGAGAGUUAAACAGUACGUGAAAUUGUCAAAAGGGAAGCGUUUGACACCAGUGUUGUUUUUCCGAAAAUCAAUUACGAAUGGCUUGAUUUUGUGUUGUAUUGACCUUAUCAGCUUUCUGCACUUUUUUCGAGUCUUUCUUAAUGCACUUUUCGGUUAACAAGUCAACAUCAAUUUCUUUUGUUGUAAAAGAGUAUUCGGAAGGUGGCUUUCUUUUCGGAGAAAGUGUUUAUAGCCCUAUACUUCUACAAUCGGAGAGAUUGAGGUCUGCAGCGUAGAUCCUUCGGGGUUAGAUACAUUUGUGCUAAGUUGUAGCUUUUCAUAGACAACUUGUUGACUAUGUUUAGUCAUGCGGCUUACUCGCUUAUGCUAUUUUACCUACGCUUAGGAUGUUGACAAAAUGGUUUUAAACGACCCGUCUUGAAACACGGACC
RNAcentral lists this ribosomal RNA (780 nucleotides) under Neocallimastix frontalis. RNAcentral's name for it is "partial large subunit ribosomal RNA". It matches the Rfam family "Eukaryotic large subunit ribosomal RNA", at positions 38 to 667 of the family's 3401-position model. The record is from RNAcentral. Lineage: Eukaryota; Fungi; Neocallimastigomycota; Neocallimastigomycetes; Neocallimastigales; Neocallimastigaceae.